AGGACGAACGCUGGCGGCGUGCUUCAUACAUGCAAGUCGAACGAUAAGGGUCUCUUCGGAGAUACAUAAGUGGCGGACGGGUGAGUAAAAAUGUAGAGAAUCUGGCCCUAGAGUGGGGGACAACAGUUGGAAACGACUGCUAAUACCGGCAUAUGAGCGUAGCUGAAAUGCUAUUCUUGAAAAACUCCGGUGCUCUGGGAUGAGUCUGCAUCUGAUUAGCUAGUUGGGGGUGUAAUGGACCACCAAGGCGACGAUCAGUAGCUGGUUUGAGAGGAUGAUCAGCCACAAUGGGACUGAGACACGGCCCAUACUCCUACGGGAGGCAGCAGUAGGGAAUUUUGCGCAAUGGGGGAAACCCUGAACCGCAGCAACGCCGCGUGACCGAUGAAGCCCUUCGGGGUGUAAAGGUCUGUCAGUGGGGACGAAACUUGACGGUACCCACAGAGGAAGCAUCGGCUAACUCCGUGCCAGCAGCCGC
This 478-nucleotide ribosomal RNA is filed under the name uncultured bacterium. Its description in RNAcentral is "bacterial SSU rRNA". It matches the Rfam family "Bacterial small subunit ribosomal RNA", at positions 26 to 518 of the family's 1533-position model. The record is from RNAcentral.